GACGAACGCUGGCGGCGUGCUUAACACAUGCAAGUCGAACGGAAAGGCCCUGCUUGCAGGGUACUCGAGUGGCGAACGGGUGAGUAACACGUGGGUGAUCUGCCCUGCACUUCGGGAUAAGCCUGGGAAACUGGGUCUAAUACCGGAUAGGAGCCAUUUUUAGUGUGAUGGUUGGAAAGUUUUUUCGGUGUAGGGUGAGCUCGCGGCCUAUCAGCUUGUUGGUGGGGUAAUGGCCUACCAAGGCGGCGACGGGUAGCCGGCCUGAGAGGGUGGACGGCCACAUUGGGACUGAGAUACGGCCCAGACUCCUACGGGAGGCAGCAGUGGGGAAUAUUGCACAAUGGGCGCAAGCCUGAUGCAGCGACGCCGCGUGGGGGAUGGCGGCCUUCGGGUUGUAAACUCCUUUCGCUAGGGACGAAGCUUUUUGUGACGGUACCUAGAUAAGAAGCACCGGCUAACUACGUG
This 465-nucleotide ribosomal RNA is filed under the name uncultured bacterium. Its description in RNAcentral is "partial 16S ribosomal RNA". It matches the Rfam family "Bacterial small subunit ribosomal RNA", at positions 28 to 507 of the family's 1533-position model. The record is from RNAcentral.